Molecule: non-coding RNA, 1093 nt
Organism: Dermacentor albipictus
Lineage: Eukaryota; Metazoa; Arthropoda; Arachnida; Ixodida; Ixodidae
Source: RefSeq, a predicted model, not a curated record
CACGGACGCGGUAUGCUGCAAAAGCCGCUUUCGUGAUCUAUCGUCGCGACGAUAGAUCGGGUUUUUUUAUUAUUAUAAGUAAUGAUCCAGCUGUAAGGCGCAUGUAACCGACAAACGGAAGUCUCAGGAGAGCACCUGAGAUUAUAAUAAAGCAGGCGUCGCAGGAACUCCAGGGUACCCAAGGGACAGUGGGGGGAUCAAAGUUCGAAGCAGAACAGUACGUAGGUUGGGGCCGCCGAGUCAGGUCAACGCCUCCUAUAACUAUAUGCCUGGAACGUCGCUCUCUUUUCCAUAGGGAGCUCUCUGCCGAGUGUUGCGACCAUGCGCCGCAGGACGGCGCGCGCCACCGUACCGGUCCCCAUGGCAACCACUGCCGCCGCCGCCGCCGAAAGCUCACGACGCGCCAGCCGCUUGGCUGCCGACGUCGCUCCCGGCUGGCUCCCGGUAGCCGCGCCACCGGCGUGUUUACAAGGGCUGGCCGCAAGAGGCGCUUGCCACCGUACCAAAAGGAGCAUGAGACGCCGAUGUAUGUCGAUCUAAUGGGGACCAAGCGGCCCAACAUGUAUGCUGCUAUUGCUGCUUCACCAAGGUUACAUUCGCACUCCUUGACUUCAACCUGAAUCAGCAGCUUCUUCGGGAGGAGAAUUUUCGCAGGAAGCUUUGACUUCCUGCAACAACUUCGGGUGAAGGGCACAUUUUGUGAGUCUCCUGCCACCUGAAUCUACAGCACAAUGCCCCAAGGGUUAAGCUGAUUUGUCAGGAGAAAGACCACAUGCUUUCAACCACAGUGGCCACUGUAUCUACCAAGGACUAUCAGUAGCUUCUGCAGCAGCGACCAUGCUGGCCAUGAGAUCAGCCUACAGUCCACGCAGAAAUGAAGUUUGUAAUGAAGCGCUUAUUUCAGGCAAAUGGUGUUACCGGUUAUUUGUUGUAGGCUUUUUCAGUUGCUUCAUUGGCUCCUUUUGCCAACUUCUGCCUUUGUUUUGUUGUUUUGUGCUUGAACAAAAACAUUGUUUUUGUUCCAAAGGUGAUCUUUGCUUUCUCGAUUUAUUCAGUUUUGACUAUGCCUUCCAUUGCAAGGUGGCUGAGCAAC